This 319-nucleotide small RNA is filed under the name Pongo abelii (Sumatran orangutan). RNAcentral describes it as "processed transcript". Lineage: Eukaryota; Metazoa; Chordata; Mammalia; Primates; Hominidae. The record is from RNAcentral.
UGGCAGCUGUCACUCCUCAUGACUUCAUUGAGCACAUCUUGCGCAAGCUGCCCCAGCAGCGGGAGAAGCUGUCUCUGAUCCGCAAGCAUGCCCAGACCUUCAUUGCUCUGUGUGCCACCGGAGGAGGAUCUCAGGAAGUCAACAGCAUCUCAUCUCUCCAGGUGGGCAGUUAAGGAUGGAGAGGGUACACCCUCACCCCUGAGCGUGCCUUCUGCACCAGCAUAUAGCUUGUUGGCAUUUUUGAUCAAGAGACUUGAGAUUGCCGAGAAAUUUGUACCUGGUUUUUAUUUGUUAAAAUAAUAUUACAUGCAAAUUUUAC